RNAcentral lists this ribosomal RNA (450 nucleotides) under uncultured bacterium. RNAcentral's name for it is "partial 16S ribosomal RNA". It matches the Rfam family "Bacterial small subunit ribosomal RNA", at positions 354 to 796 of the family's 1533-position model. The record is from RNAcentral.
GUAGGGAAUCUUCCGCAAUGGACGAAAGUCUGACGGAGCAACGCCGCGUGAGUGAAGAAGGUUUUCGGAUCGUAAAACUCUGUUGUUAAAGAAGAACAAGGAUGAGAGUAACUGCUCAUCCCCUGACGGUAUUUAACCAGAAAGCCACGGCUAACUACGUGCCAGCAUCCGCGGUAAUACGUAGGUGGCAAGCGUUGUCCGGAUUUAUUGGGCGUAAAGCGAGCGCAGGCGGUUCUUUAAGUCUGAUGUGAAAGCCCCCGGCUCAACCGGGGAGGGUCAUUGGAGACUGGAGAACUUGGGUGCAGAAGAGGAGAGUGGAAUUCCACGGGUAGCGGUGAAAUGCGUAGAUAUGUGGAGGAACACCAGUGGCGAAGGCGACUCUCUGGUCUGUAACUGACGCUGAGGCUCGAAAGCGUGGGGAGCAAACAGGAUUAGAUACCCGGGUAGUCC